Molecule: ribosomal RNA, 895 nt
Filed under: uncultured archaeon
Lineage: Archaea
Description: bacterial SSU rRNA
Rfam family: Archaeal small subunit ribosomal RNA
Source: RNAcentral
CCGGACUGACUGCUAUCGGAUUGGUACUAAGCCAUGCGAGUCAUUGUAGCAAUACAAGGCGGACGGCUCAGUAACACGUAGUCAACCUAACCUAUGGACGUGGAUAACCUCGGGAAACUGAGAAUAAACCGCGAUAGAUCAUUAUGCCUGGAAUGGCUUAUGGUUCAAACAAUUUAUUGCCGUAGGAUGGGACUGCGGCCUAUCAGCUUGUUGGUGAGGUAAUGGCCCACCAAGGCUAUAACAGGUACGGGCUCUGAGAGGAGAAGCCCGGAGAUGGGUACUGAGACACGGACCCAGGCCCUAUGGGGCGCAGCAGGCGAGAAACCUUAGCAAUGUGCGAAAGCACGACUAGGUUAAUCCGAGUGAUUCCUGUUGAAGGAAUCUUUUGUCAGUCGUAAAACCACAGACGAAUAAGGGGUGGGCAAGUCUGGUGUCAGCCGCCGCGGUAAUACCAGCACCUCGAGUGGUCAGGAGGUUUAUUGGGCCUAAAGCAUCCGUAGCCGGCUUUGCAAGUCUCCGGUUAAAUCCAGCUGCUCAACAGAUGGGCUGCCGGAGAUACUACACAGCUAGGGAGCGGGAGAGGCAGACGGUAUUCUGUGGGUAGGGGUAAAAUCCAUUGAUCCAUAGAGGACCACCAGUGGCGAAGGCGGUCUGCCAGAACGCGUUCGACGGUGAGGGAUGAAAGCUGGGGGAGCAAACCGGAUUAGAUACCCGGGUAGUCCCAGCUGUAAACGAUGCAAACUCGGUGAUGCAUUGGCUUAUGGCCAAUGCAGUGCCGCAGGGAAGCCGUUAAGUUUGCCGCCUGGGAAGUACGGACGCAAGUCUGAAACUUAAAGGAAUUGGCGGGGGAGCACCACAAGGGGUGAAGCCUGCGGUUCAAUUGGAUCAACGCCGG